RNAcentral lists this transfer RNA (68 nucleotides) under Tolypeutes matacus. RNAcentral's name for it is "tRNA-Tyr". It matches the Rfam family "tRNA". Rfam says of the family: Transfer RNA (tRNA) molecules are approximately 80 nucleotides in length. Lineage: Eukaryota; Metazoa; Chordata; Mammalia; Cingulata; Chlamyphoridae. The record is from RNAcentral.
GGUAAAAUGGCUGAGUAAGCAUUAGACUGUAAAUCUAAAGACAAAGGGUAUGUCCCCUUUUUUUACCA